UUCAAAUCCAUCUCUCCAACUUAGCGUGAGGUGUCAGACCAUGUCAAAGGCCUUGCACAAGGGAGCAGCCAUGUGUUCUCCUUCCCAGCACGGAGGGAUGGAGAGAAGCCCAAGGAAUGGUUAUCGACCCACUGAACUGCAAAUGUGUGGUUGAGGAGAUUGAGAACAGCCAAGCCCAGGAAAAUUCCCCUUGGUCAUGUUCCUUAAUUGUUCGUCCUUGGAGAGACAGCAACCUCUGCUCUAUACGCCUGUGCUGGAUUUUUUGUUUUCUUUUUAAAAGUAAGACAGAAAUCCUCGUAACACAUCAAUAAAGAGCCACGCUGUAGACAGCAUCUGAAAGCAAGAAAAUAAUAUUACUACAGAAAAGGAAAAAAAAAAAAAAAAAAGCAACACAACAGCACCAAAAGCUAAUAAAAGCAUUACUCGAGAAACAGAACUGUUUCGAAGCAGCCAAAGAAUAUCCACAAUGAUGAUUCAAUUACACAGAAGAUUAGUGUUGGUCUGUCUGCGGAGCCAAGAGUUUCUCACGGAGGUUUUGAGCCGACGAAUGGGUGAUGACUUCAUAAAACCUGAGCGUAAUGGGGUGGAGGGACAAGAAAAACAAACAACAAAAAAACAAGAAGAAAAAUGCCCCCAAAACAGCAGAAACCAGACCAAUAAAAUCUCAUUCCAAUCAUGGAACAAAUCGUGUAGAUUUUUUUUUUUUUUUUUCCCUGGGAGCAGAUUUCAGCUAGGGCAACAUUUCUUUAAGGUAUUGAUUAGCAAUUAGAGAGGUGUUUUAGCUGCUUCUCUGCUGUGUCCCUGUCAUUCCCUCCAGAAUUUCAAUUCCACGAGUACUAUUUCCAUCCUGCAGCGGAGCCAGGCGAGAAUCACUGCCCAACCCCACAGCUCCAGGCACUCCCUGCUGCUAAAGGAUUUGGGGUGGAGUGGGGUCCAGCUUCAGAAAAAAUAGAAAACCCUGAAAAGGAUGAAAAAUAAUCUUGAUUUGAGCCAGGAGGUGGUGGAUGGCUUGGAAUACAUUGGGCACGGGGCUGGGGUGUAGGAGUCUGCUUAACUCACAGAGUUUUAUCAGCCAGAGCUUUGGUUUGCCCCAUAGGCGCUAUAUCAGCAGCCAUCCCACUCAGCAUGAAGGGCAGCAACCAGGAGAGGAGGCUCUGUGGAACAGAUUACCCAGAGAAGCUAUGGGUGUCCCAUCCCUGGAGGUGCCCAAGGCCAAGCUGGGAGGGGGGGCACCCAUUUUACAGCAGAGGCAGGGCUUUAAGGUCCCUUCCAACCCAACCAUCCCAUGGUUCUAUGAUCUUUAAGGUCCCUUCCAACCCAACCACUCCAUGGAAAUAUGAUCUUUAAGGACCCUUCCAACCCAAACAUUCUAUGAUUCUAUGAUUCUACAAAGAUACCAAUGAAGACUUGCACUGAAAACCAUCAAACUCAAAACACAUUGCCUUCAAUAAUCAACAGAGGGAAGCCACCAUCACCUCCCACAAAGGAGUGGCCAGUCUUUUCCUCUAGUGGUAAUUUUCCUGCCUUUUUAUUUGGUUCCACUUAAAAUGGGGAUUCUUAAGAGCAAGAAAAAUAACAAACGGAUUUCUCUUCAGAUAAUUCAUAAGGGCUCCGAGUGCAUUGUAAAUGCAUGCCUUUAUCCAACAGGCAAUUUGAU
Long non-coding RNA from Gallus gallus (chicken), 1657 nucleotides. The record is from Ensembl. NCBI's taxonomy places the organism in Eukaryota, Metazoa, Chordata, Aves, Galliformes, Phasianidae.